This 484-nucleotide ribosomal RNA is filed under the name uncultured bacterium. Its description in RNAcentral is "partial 16S ribosomal RNA". It matches the Rfam family "Bacterial small subunit ribosomal RNA", at positions 30 to 507 of the family's 1533-position model. The record is from RNAcentral.
AUUGAACGCUGGCGGCAGGCCUAACACAUGCAAGUCGAGCGGAUGAAGGGAGCUUGCUCCUGGAUUCAGCGGCGGACGGGUGAGUAAUGCCUAGGAAUCUGCCUGGUAGUGGGGGAUAACGUCCGGAAACGGGCGCUAAUACCGCAUACGUCCUGAGGGAGAAAGUGGGGGAUCUUCGGACCUCACGCUAUCAGAUGAGCCUAGGUCGGAUUAGCUAGUUGGUGGGGUAAAGGCCUACCAAGGCGACGAUCCGUAACUGGUCUGAGAGGAUGAUCAGUCACACUGGAACUGAGACACGGUCCAGACUCCUACGGGAGGCAGCAGUGGGGAAUAUUGGACAAUGGGGGAAAGCCUGAUCCAGCCACGCCGCGUGGGUGAAGAAGGUCUUCGGAUUGUAAAGCACUUUAAGUUGGGAGGAAGGGCAGUAAGUUAAUACCUUGCUGUUUUGACGUUACCAACAGAAUAAGCACCGGCUAACUUCGUG